GCUCCGACAGUUUCAAUGGAGUGGAACUAACUGUUAAAGCCUGUUGGAAGACAGCAGUUCCAAUGGAGUGGAGUGCUCAUCAUGAACCCAAUCCUUGGCCAUGGCCUCCUUUUCUUUUCCCCCAUGAACUCAUCUCAUCAUUCCAAUAGGAUUCUCUUCUGAUACACUGUUGAGGACAUGGAGAUGGGCCUGCUUCCCCAGAGGGGAUCCAAUGCUUGUUGUGAGAUGCACAUCAUCCAUGAUGCUCUCACAUUGGCUGCAGAGGAGAAGCUGCCUUUCACAGGUUCUGGAGCUGACUUUUCAGAACAGAGAAGAAUCCAGUAUGAUCCUUGAAAGGGAAACAGUCUUGUUUACAAUUCUAAACUUCACGCAGACUAUUUCAGGUUGUUUGAGUCGACAAGAAGGUACAAAUUAUAUAUUUUAUCCUCUAAAUACUUGACAAACAACUUAUUUCUAUGACAGUUCUAUUGACUGAGUAGGAAGGUUGAAGUUAUCCUGCCAAAGAACACAGCCAACACAAUGGUUUUUUCUACAAAGAUAAUCCAAUCUUAUUAGAUUCAUUUUUAAGUUCAUACGAUAAGAUUCCAAUGCUGAACUUAAAGUAAAUCAGAUACACCACCGCGGCCUAAGCUUCGAUCACUAAUCUAACCAAUGGAACAAUUGAUUUAUAAAAUAACAUACCAUAAUAUUUUUCUUUCUUUAUCAUCCUUUCUCUUUUUUCUAAUUCCACACUCUCUCUCUCUCUCUCUCUCUCUCUCUCUCUCUCUCUCU
Long non-coding RNA from Musa acuminata AAA Group (dessert banana), 771 nucleotides. RefSeq lists it as uncharacterized. NCBI's taxonomy places the organism in Eukaryota, Viridiplantae, Streptophyta, Magnoliopsida, Zingiberales, Musaceae. The record is from RefSeq and is a predicted model, not a curated record. The transcript is spliced from 2 exons.